This 879-nucleotide ribosomal RNA is filed under the name uncultured archaeon. Its description in RNAcentral is "bacterial SSU rRNA". It matches the Rfam family "Archaeal small subunit ribosomal RNA", at positions 55 to 922 of the family's 1478-position model. The record is from RNAcentral.
GAGUUGAAUGGGAUACCUAAAGAUCCCAUAGCAAACUGCUCAGUAACACAUGAUCAACUUACCCUAUAGAGAAAAAUAACCUCGGGAAACUGAGGAUAAUGUUUCAUAAUUGAAUUGGCUUGGAAAAGUUUUUCAAUGAAAAGGAUAAAAAAAAUGGUUUUUAUCUGCUAUAGGAUAGGAUCGUGUUCGAUUAUGGUUGUUGGUGAGAUAAUGGCUCACCAAGCCGAUAAUCGAUAGGGGCCGUGAGAGCGGGAGCCCCGAGAUGGGUACUGAGACAACGACCCAGGCCUUACGAGGCGCAGCAGGCGCGGAACCUCCGCAAUACACGAAAGUGUGACGGGGUUACCCAAAGUGUUCAAUAGAACUGUGGUAGGUGAGUAAUGUCCCCUACUAGAAAGGAGAGGGCAAGGCUGGUGCCAGCCGCCGCGGUAAAACCAGCUCUUCAAGUGGUCGGGAUAAUUAUUGGGCUUAAAGUGUCCGUAGCCGGUUUAGUUAGUUCCUGGUAAAAUCGGGUAGCUUAACUAUCUGUAUGCUAGGAAUACUGCUAUACUAGAGGGCGGGAGAGGUCUGAGGUACUACAGGGGUAGGGGUGAAAUCUUAUAAUCCUUGUAGGACCACCAGUGGCGAAGGCGUCAGACUGGAACGCGCCUGACGGUGAGGGACGAAAGCCAGGGGUGCGAACCGGAUUAGAUACCCGGGUAGUCCUGGCCGUAAACGAUGCAUACUAGGUGAUGGUACGGCCAUGAGCCGUAUCAGUGCCGUAGGGAAACCGUUAAGUGUGCCGCCUGGGAAGUACGGUCGCAAGGCUAAAACUUAAAGGAAUUGGCGGGGGAGCACCACAAGGGGUGAAGCCUGCGGUUCAAUUGGAUCAACGCCGGA